Molecule: ribosomal RNA, 315 nt
Filed under: Limosilactobacillus fermentum
Lineage: Bacteria; Bacillati; Bacillota; Bacilli; Lactobacillales; Lactobacillaceae
Description: bacterial SSU rRNA
Rfam family: Bacterial small subunit ribosomal RNA
Source: RNAcentral
UUGUUCGCAUGAACAACGCUUAAAAGAUGGCUUCUCGCUAUCACUUCUGGAUGGACCUGCGGUGCAUUAGCUUGUUGGUGGGGUAACGGCCUACCAAGGCGAUGAUGCAUAGCCGAGUUGAGAGACUGAUCGGCCACAAUGGGACUGAGACACGGCCCAUACUCCUACGGGAGGCAGCAGUAGGGAAUCUUCCACAAUGGGCGCAAGCCUGAUGGAGCAACACCGCGUGAGUGAAGAAGGGUUUCGGCUCGUAAAGCUCUGUUGUUAAAGAAGAACACGUAUGAGAGUAACUGUUCAUACGUUGACGGUAUUUAA